Molecule: ribosomal RNA, 441 nt
Filed under: uncultured bacterium
Lineage: Bacteria
Description: partial 16S ribosomal RNA
Rfam family: Bacterial small subunit ribosomal RNA
Source: RNAcentral
CCUACGGGUGGCAGCAGUGGGGGAUAUUGCACAAUGGGGGGAACCCUGAUGCAGCGACGCCGCGUGGGUGAAGGAGCGUUUCGGCGCGUAAAGCCCUAUCGGCAGGGAAGAAGAAGGACGGUAUCUGACUAAGAAGCCCCGGCUAACUACGUGCCAGCAGCCGCGGUAAUACGUAGGGGGCAAGCGUUAUCCGGAUUUACUGGGUGGAAAGGGGGCGCAGACGGCAGCGCAAGCCAGGAGUGAAAGCCCGGGGCCCAACCCCGGGACUGCUCUUGGAACUGCGCGGCUGGAGUGCAGGAGGGGCAGGCGGAAUUCCUGGUGUAGCGGGGAAAUGCGUAGAUAUCAGGAGGAACACCGGUGGCGAAGGCGGCCUGCUGGACUGCGACUGACGUUGAGGCCCGAAAGCGUGGGGAGCAAACAGGAUUAGAUACCCUUGUAGUC